UGUGGAGAGCGUGAACAAUGUGGC
Molecule: non-coding RNA, 24 nt
Filed under: Cricetulus griseus (Chinese hamster)
Lineage: Eukaryota; Metazoa; Chordata; Mammalia; Rodentia; Cricetidae
Source: RNAcentral